UAGCUGAGUGUCUUGAUGGAGAUCUAUA
This 28-nucleotide non-coding RNA is filed under the name Rattus norvegicus (Norway rat). The record is from RNAcentral. Lineage: Eukaryota; Metazoa; Chordata; Mammalia; Rodentia; Muridae.